GUGAACGCUGGCGGUAGUCCUAACACAUGCAAGUCGAACGGCAGCACAGUAAGAGCUUGCUCUUACGGGUGGCGAGUGGCGGACGGGUGAGGAAUACAUCGGAAUCUACUUUUUCGUGGGGGAUAACGUAGGGAAACUUACGCUAAUACCGCAUACGACCUACGGGUGAAAGCCGGGGAUCUUCGGACCUUGCGCGAUUGAAUGAGCCGAUGUCGGAUUAGCUAGUUGGCGGGGUAAAGGCCCACCAAGGCGACGAUCCGUAGCUGGUCUGAGAGGAUGAUCAGCCACACUGGAACUGAGACACGGUCCAGACUCCUACGGGAGGCAGCAGUGGGGAAUAUUGGACAAAGGGCGCAAGCCUGAUCCAGCCAUACCGCGUGGGUGAAGAAGGCCUUCGGGUUGUAAAGCCCUUUUGUUGGGAAAGAAAAGCAGCAGGUUAAUACCCCGCUGUUCUGACGGUACCCAAAGAAUAAGCACCGGCUAACUUCGUG
Molecule: ribosomal RNA, 491 nt
Filed under: uncultured bacterium
Lineage: Bacteria
Description: partial 16S ribosomal RNA
Rfam family: Bacterial small subunit ribosomal RNA
Source: RNAcentral